This 1153-nucleotide long non-coding RNA is filed under the name Homo sapiens (human). RNAcentral's name for it is "HSALNT0361363". The record is from RNAcentral. Lineage: Eukaryota; Metazoa; Chordata; Mammalia; Primates; Hominidae.
AAGGAAAGGACCAAGCUCGGUUGAGGCGCGGCCCAGCCGCAGCCGCAGUCACAGCCUCAGCCGCAGCGGCCGUGCUACCUAGGUGAUAGCGGAGCGGCUGGGUAGGAAGCAAUUGUUCUCAAACUUCACUAGCCCCGUCGGCGCGGACGCUUGUCGAGAAUGCAGAUUCCUGGGUACUGCCAGAUACGAAUUGAGCAUACCACAAAAAAGUUCUCAUUUUGUGUCCUCCCAUCCCAUUCUCCUCACUAACCAAAGGCUAGGAAUUAUCUGUGAAUGUAGGACCACUGGAUUUGCAGUCUUCAUCUGACACUGUGGAGAGUUUCUAGGAAUGAAACAGAUAUAUGGCCUUGGGUCCCCUUUUUUUUUCUUUUUUUUUUUUUUAAUAGAGACGAGCAUCUCACUAUGUUGCCUAGGGUAGUCUUGAACUCCUGGCCUCAAGCAAUCCCCACCCGACUCCGCCUCUCGAAGUGAUGGGAUUACAGGCAUAAACCACCACGCCUGGCCAGAAGGUGCUUUAACACCAAAUCUGAAAAUUGUUCAGAAGAGAAACAUUGAGCAUGAACACCAUCUGUGCGAGUCAUUUACUUAUUGCCCCUCACCUCUAAAUCUACCUUCUGUACUCUUCUUCCCUGUAAUGAUGGGGCUAGUUGUCCUCAAACUGUUUCUCAGACUUCUUUUUAAGCUUGCUUCCUGUUCAGUUCUGCCAAUAGGGGUCACUAGAGAGAGACUGGGAGGCAGAAGGAGAGAAUAUGCUUCCUGUUUUUUCUGUUCUUGUUAAUGUUGCUUACAGGACCAGCAAUGCUUCUUCACCUAGAGACACUUCUCCCAGCAGUGGCAGUGCCACUUCAGCUUCUUUCAGCACUACUGGAAUCAGCCUCAGUGAUUCCCCCUGUACCCGCUCAGAGAUUAUCCACAGCAGCCAGAUGGUUCUACCUUCCACAAAGAUUGUGGUUGCAAUUCUGGGCUUCUAAGUUCUGGUUACUUCAUAUUUUUCCUUUUGUUCCUCCAGCCCUAGAGGUGGUAGCUGCUUUCUGAAGUUAUUAUUUCUAGAUGACUUUUGGUUUUUCAGCCUUUGUAUUUUGCUUUUCAGCCCUCUAAUGCCUGUAUAACCAAUUUCCCUGUAAUAAAUAAAUUUCCUCCAUUGAAAUACCUA